UCCUCCCGGAAGGCUGCAAGGCCCGAAUGCUCAGGCCUGCUCUUUUCCUAAAUGAGGUCUCUGCUGCCUCCUGCAGCUUAUUUUCCACAGAAAGCAAAUUAAAGAGGCCGCGAGGGGAUGUGAGAUUGGGAUGACCGGGGUGGGCGCCUCUGGCCCGGUGGCCUCCAUGGCCCCUGGGGCCCUGUCUGGGCUCUUGCCUGGGGAAGGAGGUCCUGGCUUCUGACCCUGUGGACCAAUCCCUGGAUUCCAAGUGCACAAUGUGGAGGGUGUCCCUGCCCCACCACGCGGAAAGGCUGACACCUGGAGGGGCCAUAGGGGGCUGGCGGGGGUCUCCACCCAGCCUCCUAUCCAGAUGCCCCUCCUCACUCCUGCACGUCCUGCUGUCCCAAAGCCCCGCUGGCCGAGGUGGGGGCCCUCAACAGUGUUGACAACAAACAUUACCCUGUGGAAACGCCGGGAAAUACAGAAACACAGUGAGAGGAUUCCUGGGGUCCCAGAGUUUGUCCGGCUGGGGACCAGGCCAGGGGAAAGAAAGUACUGGUCCGCCCACCCACCGCCCACCACCCGACGGACGGUCUUGGGUAGAGCCUGACAAGGAUUCUUGUGCACAGCGGGUUUCUGGAGGGAGGGCCACUGGAGACAACCUGCAGCCGCGAGAGUGAAGCCACACAGUGCAGGCAGCCAGACGUGACUUCAGCCACCCGCCUGGGCCCGUGGGGGCUCCUGGAGGGGCAUCACAGUGCUCUGUCUACCUUGAAGCAGGUGCUGGUUUUGUGAAAUCUCGUUUAGCCCCUCAUUGAGGUAUGAGUAUGCUGUGGCUGCUGUAACAAAGUGUUGCAAAGCUGGUGCUUUAAAUGGUAGAAAUAUUUACUCUCUCACUGUUCUGGGGCCAGAAAUCUGAAAUCUGGGUGAGGUGCCCCAGGGGGUCUCCCAGGGCAGCCCCUGGCCAUCCCUAGUCAGCUGGGCCCCCCACCCUCCCUGAGCUGCUGCUUCUUUGGCACAGGGGAAGGGUCACAAUGUCACCAGCCUCCUGGGCUCUGCAGAAGGGUGGUCCUGGGGUAGCUCCAGGUAAGGCCCCUUUCUCACUAGGCCCUCGUGGACCUGGGAGGGGACAAUGGGAGGGCCCAGUCUCAGGGCACCAAGUCCUGGCCACCAGACACCAUCCCUUCUGUUCUCAGAGCCUCCCGGGCUCUGGGGGGGGCAGUGCAGGAACCCAUUUUUAGAUUCCAUUUCCUCCUUGUUUAGUAGAGGGAAAUCCAAAAGGACCAAAAGUGCCAGGAAAGAAGGAAACGCCACAGCAGCCACCCUCUUCCCCCAGCGCUCCACCCGCCUGGGCAUCCUCUGCCAGACUCUCUUCUUGGGUGAGAAAAAUAAAAUUC
This is a long non-coding RNA of Sciurus carolinensis (gray squirrel), 1379 nucleotides long. RefSeq lists it as uncharacterized. The record is from RefSeq and is a predicted model, not a curated record. The transcript is spliced from 3 exons. NCBI's taxonomy places the organism in Eukaryota, Metazoa, Chordata, Mammalia, Rodentia, Sciuridae.